UAUUAGAUUAAUGUCAUUUAUCAUUAAGCCGUAAACGUAGAUCGUACAUACCAAAUAUGCUGUUCAUUUUUCUUUCCCAAAAGGGUUAUUUUUCAAAACGUCAGUCCCAAAGUAUGCAAGGCAUAGUUACUUACAGACAAACAAAAAUUCAAGGUGCAGAUUAUAUUGUGGGGCCACGGGAGUGAUAAAAUGAACUUGAUUAAAUUUCAGUCAAUCUACAUACGAUAUGUUAAAUAUCAAACCAGGUCAUCCAAAAAUAGAAUUUGAAGAUUGAAGUGACAGAUUCAAAAGAUGAAUAUCAUUGGAAUUAUCUCAAUUACAUAGCUCAAUUAAAUUAAUCUACUAUAUCUACGGUAUUAAGAAAAACGAUAAUGAAAACGCUGCUAAAUUUAUUAAUGAAAUUACGCACACUACACUAAAUAAAGCUAAAAUGAUUCGAGUACUAUGGAAGAGAUAAAAAAAAAAACAUAAAUCCAUCUUUUAUGUCAACAGAGGAAGCAAUUUCGAUAAUUAUAACUACUUCUCUAUCAAAGUUUCAGUAAAAUAUGUUAAGAAGUAAUGCAAACUGGUAUAGAUGAAAAUGUAAGUAAUAAAUUUUACAUAAUUUUUCAAAAUCCAUCGAGUUGCCAUAAAUUUGAUUUUAAGUAAUUUGUUAAAAAUUGUUGGGAAAUAACAGAGAGUUAUAUAGUUCAUACCACCUAGUAUUCACAACUUUUUUUUUUUUCAAUAGCCGCUUCAUUGAUAUAACCAAUCGGCAAAUUAAGUGAAAAAGCAUUAGAAGCUAGAAAAAAAAAUGUCAACAAUUUUAGAGAAAAUUAUACACGAAAAAUAUCACGAAAAAACACAAAUUCAAAUAUUUUUCAUAGUCUGUUUUUAUCUUUAGAUUCAUUAAUAAAUAGUAAUCGGGAAGUAAAAACGAAAAAACGAAAAUUAUAUCAGUCAGUAAAAGACCUGCUUAUUACCGAUGACAUUGAAACCGAAAGUGAAUCAGAGCAAAUGAUAGUAGUGAAUACUACUGUGCGGCGGCGAGAUGUUCGGCGUUGAACUGUUCUGUGAUGAAUAGUUCUAAGGCGAAACGGUCAUGGUAAAUUAGUUGCGGC
RNAcentral lists this long non-coding RNA (1100 nucleotides) under Sipha flava (yellow sugarcane aphid). RNAcentral describes it as "uncharacterized LOC112681626, transcript variant X2". The record is from RNAcentral. Lineage: Eukaryota; Metazoa; Arthropoda; Insecta; Hemiptera; Aphididae.